This 1493-nucleotide ribosomal RNA is filed under the name uncultured bacterium. RNAcentral's name for it is "partial 16S ribosomal RNA". It matches the Rfam family "Bacterial small subunit ribosomal RNA". The record is from RNAcentral.
AGGGUUUGAUCAUGGCUCAGGAUGAACGCUAGCGGCAGGCUUAACACAUGCAAGUCGAGGGGUAACAGAGGGUGCUUGCACCUUGCUGACGACCGGCGCACGGGUGCGUAACGCGUAUGCAACCUACCUUUUACAGGGGGAUAGUCAAGAGAAAUUUUGAAUAAUACCCCAUACGAUCUAAGAGAAGCAUUUCUUAUAGAGGAAAACUUUUGUGGUAAAAGAUGGGCAUGCGUCCUAUUAGCUAGAUGGAGAGGUAACGGCUCCCCAUGGCAACGAUAGGUAGGGGUCCUGAGAGGGAGAUCCCCCACACUGGUACUGAGACACGGACCAGACUCCUACGGGAGGCAGCAGUGAGGAAUAUUGGACAAUGGAGGCAACUCUGAUCCAGCCAUGCCGCGUGCAGGAAGACUGCCCUAUGGGUUGUAAACUGCUUUUAUACAGGAAGAAACCUAUCUACGUGUAGAUAGCUGACGGUACUGUACGAAUAAGGAUCGGCUAACUCCGUGCCAGCAGCCGCGGUAAUACGGAGGGUGCAAGCGUUAUCCGGAUUCACUGGGUUUAAAGGGUGCGUAGGCGGGUAGGUAAGUCAGUGGUGAAAUCCUGGAGCUCAACUCCAGAACUGCCAUUGAUACUAUCUAUCUUGAAUAUUGUGGAGGUAAGCGGAAUAUGUCAUGUAGCGGUGAAAUGCUUAGAUAUGACAUAGAACACCCAUUGCGAAGGCAGCUUACUACGCAUAUAUUGACGCUGAGGCACGAAAGCGUGGGGAUCAAACAGGAUUAGAUACCCUGGUAGUCCACGCCCUAAACUAUGGAUACUCGACAUAUGCGAUACACUGUAUGUGUCUGAGCGAAAGCAUUAAGUAUCCCACCUGGGAAGUACGUUCGCAAGAAUGAAACUCAAAGGAAUUGGCGGGGGUCCGCACAAGCGGUGGAGUAUGUGGUUUAAUUCGAUGAUACGCGAGGAACCUUACCUGGGCUAGAAUGCUGGGAGACCGCUAGUGAAAGCUAGUUUUGUAGCAAUACACUGCCAGUAAGGUGCUGCAUGGCCGUCGUCAGCUCGUGCCGUGAGGUGUUGGGUUAAGUCCCGCAACGAGCGCAACCCCUAUCUUUAGUUGCCAACAGGUAAUGCUGGGAACUCUAAAGAAACUGCCGCCGUAAGGUGUGAGGAAGGAGGGGAUGAUGUCAGGUCAUCAUGGCCUUUAUGCCCAGGGCUACACACGUACUACAAUGGGGGAGACAAAGGGCUGCAACAUAGCGAUAUGAAGCCAAUCCCAAAAACUCCCUCUCAGUUCAGAUUGCAGGCUGCAACUCGCCUGCAUGAAGCUGGAAUCGCUAGUAAUCGUAUAUCAGCAAUGAUACGGUGAAUACGUUCCCGGACCUUGCACACACCGCCCGUCAAGCCAUGGGAGUCGGGUGUACCUAAAGUCGGUAACCGAAAGGAGCUGCCUAGGGUAAAAUCGAUGACUGGGGCUAAGUCGUAACAAGGUAGCCGUA